GUGAACCUGCGGAAGGAUCAUUAUUGAAUAAACUUGGUUGGGUUGUUGCUGGCUUCUUGGAGCAUGUGCACGCCUAGCACCAUUUUUACCACCUGUGCACCUUUUGUAGACUUGGAUACCUCUCGAGGAAACUCGGUUUGAGGACUGCUGUGCGAAAGCCGGCUUUCUUUGCAUUUCCAGUCUAUGUCUUUAUAUACCCCAUAAGAAUGUAAACGAAUGUUAUUAACUGGCCUUUGUGCCUUUAAUCAAAUACAACUUUCAGCAACGGAUCUCUUGGCUCUCGCAUCGAUGAAGAACGCAGCGAAAUGCGAUAAGUAAUGUGAAUUGCAGAAUUCAGUGAAUCAUCGAAUCUUUGAACGCACCUUGCGCUCCCUGGUAUUCCGGGGAGCAUGCCUGUUUGAGUGUCAUUAAAUUCUCAACCUUUCCAGCUUUUACUAGCUUGGUCAGGCUUGGAUGUGGGGGUUGCGGGCUUCUCAGAAGUCGGCUCUCCUUAAAUGUAUCAGUGAAACCUUUGUUGACUAUCUCUGGUGUGAUAAUUAUCUAUGCCGUUGAAAGUCUUCAUUAUGAGGUCUUGCUUAUAACUGUCUUCUCUAAGGGGACAACUCUUGACAUUUUGACCUCAAAUCAGGCAAGACUACCCGCUGAACUUAAGCAUAUCAAUAAGC
RNAcentral lists this ribosomal RNA (665 nucleotides) under Lyophyllum amariusculum. Its description in RNAcentral is "eukaryotic LSU rRNA". The stretch from base 254 to 407 matches the Rfam family "5.8S ribosomal RNA". Lineage: Eukaryota; Fungi; Basidiomycota; Agaricomycetes; Agaricales; Lyophyllaceae. The record is from RNAcentral.